CAUUGGUGAGAAUCCAAUGCCCCGAAAACCCAAGGUUUCCUCCGCAAGGUUCGUCCACGGAGGGUGAGUCAGGGCCUAAGAUCAGGCCGAAAGGCGUAGUCGAUGGACAACAGGUCAAUAUUCCUGUACUACCCCUUGUUGGUACGGAGGGACGGAGGAGGCUAGGUUAGCCGAAAGAUGGUUAUAGGUUUAAGGACACAAGGUGACCCUGCUUUUUCAGGGUAAGAAGGGGUAGAGAAAAUGCCUCGAGCCGAGGUCUGAGUACCAAGCGCUGCAGCGCUGAAGUAUGAGCCCCGUGGACUAGCGAUUGCUUCUCCACGAGAGGUGGCCUCAGAGAAGAUCUGCAGUUA
Molecule: non-coding RNA, 350 nt
Filed under: Triticum urartu
Lineage: Eukaryota; Viridiplantae; Streptophyta; Magnoliopsida; Poales; Poaceae
Description: Bacterial large subunit ribosomal RNA
Rfam family: Bacterial large subunit ribosomal RNA
Source: Rfam by way of RNAcentral